RNAcentral lists this ribosomal RNA (404 nucleotides) under Actinomycetes bacterium. Its description in RNAcentral is "Actinobacteria bacterium partial 16S ribosomal RNA". It matches the Rfam family "Bacterial small subunit ribosomal RNA", at positions 355 to 776 of the family's 1533-position model. Lineage: Bacteria; Bacillati; Actinomycetota; Actinomycetes. The record is from RNAcentral.
UGGGGAAUAUUGGACAAUGGGCGCAAGCCUGAUCCAGCCAUGCCGCGUGAGUGAUGAAGGCCCUAGGGUUGUAAAGCUCUUUCACCGGUGAAGAUAAUGACGGUAACCGGAGAAGAAGCCCCGGCUAACUUCGUGCCGGCAGCCGCGGUAAUACGAAGGGGGCUAGCGUUGUUCGGAUUUACUGGGCGUAAAGCGCACGUAGGCGGACUAUUAAGUCAGGGGUGAAAUCCCGGGGCUCAACCCCGGAACUGCCUUUGAUACUGGUAGUCUUGAGUUCGAGAGAGGUGAGUGGAAUUCCGAGUGUAGAGGUGAAAUUCGUAGAUAUUCGGAGGAACACCAGUGGCGAAGGCGGCUCACUGGCUCGAUACUGACGCUGAGGUGCGAAAGCGUGGGGAGCAAACAGG